CAGUCGCCGCGGUAAUACAGAGGAUGCAAGCGUUAUCCGGAAUGAUUGGGCGUAAAGCGUCUGUAGGUGGCUUUUCAAGUCCGCCGUCAAAUCCCAGGGCUCAACCCUGGACAGGCGGUGGAAACUACCAAGCUGGAGUACGGUAGGGGCAGAGGGAAUUUCCGGUGGAGCGGUGAAAUGUGUUGAGAUCGGGAAGAACACCAACGGCGAAAGCACUCUGCUGGGCCGACACUGACACUGAGAGACGAAAGCUAGGGGAGCAAAUGGGAUUAGAGACCCCAGUAGUCCCUGUCUCUUAUAC
Molecule: ribosomal RNA, 301 nt
Filed under: uncultured bacterium
Lineage: Bacteria
Description: partial 16S ribosomal RNA
Rfam family: Bacterial small subunit ribosomal RNA
Source: RNAcentral